UGGUAUGCACUGGCUUCGCUGAUUCCUCCUUUCUGAAGAACUGUAAUGCCAUUAAUUUGGUGUUGCAGGGAAACAGGACUGUUACUUUGAAAAAAUUAGAGUGUUUAAAGCAGGCUAACGCUUGAAUACAUUAGCAUGGAAUAAUGAAAUAGGACGUUUGAUCCUAUUUUGUUGGUUUCUAGGAUUGACGUAAUGAUUAAUAGGGAUAGUUGGGGGCAUUAGUAUUCAAUUGUCAGAGGUGAAAUUCUUGGAUUUAUUGAAGACUGACUACUGCGAAAGCAUUUGCCAAGGAUGUUUUCAUUAAUCAAGAACGAAAGUUAGGGGAUCGAAGACGAUCAGAUACCGUCGUAGUCUUAACCAUAAACUAUGCCGACUAGGGAUCGGAUGAUGUUAAUUUUUUAAUGACUCAUUCG
RNAcentral lists this ribosomal RNA (413 nucleotides) under uncultured Glomeromycotina. Its description in RNAcentral is "SSU rRNA". It matches the Rfam family "Eukaryotic small subunit ribosomal RNA", at positions 671 to 1082 of the family's 1831-position model. The record is from RNAcentral. Lineage: Eukaryota; Fungi; Glomeromycota.